This 524-nucleotide ribosomal RNA is filed under the name uncultured bacterium. RNAcentral describes it as "partial 16S ribosomal RNA". It matches the Rfam family "Bacterial small subunit ribosomal RNA", at positions 28 to 523 of the family's 1533-position model. The record is from RNAcentral.
GACGAACGCUGGCGGCGUGCCUAAUACAUGCAAGUCGAGCGCAGGAAACUGACGGAACUCUUCGGAGGGAAGGCAGUGGAAUGAGCGGCGGACGGGUGAGUAACACGUAAGGAACCUGCCUCAAGGAUUGGGAUAACUCCGAGAAAUCGGAGCUAAUACCGGAUAGUUCAACGGACCGCAUGGUCCGCUGAUGAAAGGCGCUUCGGCGUCACCUUGAGAUGGCCUUGCGGUGCAUUAGCUAGUUGGUGGGGUAACGGCCCACCAAGGCGACGAUGCAUGGCCGAACUGAGCGGGUGAUCGGCCACACUGGGACUGAGACACGGCCCAGAAUCCUACGGGAGGCAGCAGUAGGGAAUCUUCCACAAUGGACGAAAGUCUGAUGGAGCAACGCCGCGUGAGUGAUGAAGGUUUUCGGAUCGUAAAACUCUGUUGUAAGGGAAGAACACGUACGAGAGGAAAUGCUCGUACCUUGACGGUACCUUACGAGAAAGCCACGGCUAACUACGUGCCAGCCGCCGCAGUAA